Molecule: RNA transcript, 2391 nt
Organism: Peromyscus maniculatus bairdii (prairie deer mouse)
Lineage: Eukaryota; Metazoa; Chordata; Mammalia; Rodentia; Cricetidae
Gene: Stx1a
Gene name: syntaxin 1A
Source: RefSeq, a predicted model, not a curated record
CGGGGCGCGGGCUGGCGCUGCGCAGCCGCGGGGCGGCAUCCGCGCAUGCGGGGCUCACUCGGCUGCAGCCGGCGCCUACUGCCACUCCCGGGAGCAUGAAGGACCGAACCCAGGAGCUCCGCACGGCCAAAGACAGCGAUGACGAUGACGACGUCACUGUCACCAUGGACCGAGACCGCUUCAUGGAUGAGUUCUUCGAACAGGUGGAAGAGAUCCGGGGCUUUAUCGACAAGAUCGCCGAAAACGUGGAGGAGGUGAAGCGGAAACACAGCGCCAUCCUGGCCUCCCCCAACCCGGACGAGAAGACCAAGGAGGAACUGGAAGAGCUCAUGUCCGACAUCAAGAAAACGGCAAACAAGGUUCGCUCCAAGUUAAAGAGCAUCGAGCAGAGCAUCGAGCAGGAGGAAGGUCUGAACCGCUCCUCCGCCGACCUGAGGAUCCGGAAGACGCAGCACUCCACGCUGUCGCGAAAGUUUGUGGAGGUCAUGUCCGAAUACAACGCCACGCAGUCUGACUACCGAGAACGCUGCAAAGGUCGCAUCCAGAGGCAGCUGGAGAUCACCGGCAGGACCACGACCAGUGAGGAGUUGGAAGACAUGCUGGAGAGCGGAAAUCCUGCCAUAUUCGCCUCUGGGAUCAUCAUGGACUCCAGCAUCUCGAAGCAGGCUCUGAGUGAGAUCGAGACCAGACACAGUGAGAUCAUCAAGCUGGAGAACAGCAUCCGGGAGCUCCACGAUAUGUUCAUGGACAUGGCCAUGUUGGUGGAGAGCCAGGUGAGUGCCCUCGUCGCCGAUGUUAGGACCUCCGGCUCCCAGCAGCAUCCAGGACCACACUCACCCCCUUCCCUUUUCACCCAACACGCUGCUCUGCCCGGGAGGGACAGUGUCUUCAGGGUACUUUCCCGAAUCCCUACCCUCAGCUCCCUUCUGGUUCUGAGGAGGGAGGCCUGGACCUUGGGUCCCCCUGGUCCUGCAGGGGGAGAUGAUUGACAGGAUCGAGUACAAUGUGGAGCACGCUGUGGACUACGUGGAGAGGGCUGUGUCUGACACCAAGAAGGCCGUCAAGUACCAGAGCAAGGCGCGCAGGAAGAAGAUCAUGAUCAUCAUUUGCUGUGUGAUUCUGGGCAUCGUCAUCGCCUCCACCAUCGGGGGCAUCUUUGCAUAGAGACCGGCCCCACCCACCUCUCCACUCUGGAUGGGUCUCCCUGAGGAGGCCCCUGGCUGCUGCGUCUGGCCGGGAGCCCUUCCCCUCCCCUCCCACCCUGCUCCCUCUCUGCCACGAGGCUCCCGUCCCCACCACCCUGCCCCAAGCCGUGUCGUGUGCAUGAUCUUGUGACAGUGUGCGUCUGUUCAGGAGGCAGAGGGGAGCAGGAUCGGGAACGGCCAGAGGGGGCUGGGUUACAGGUCAGUGUGGGCAAGACUUGGGCCCUGGCCAGGUCCACCUUUCUUCAGGCCCGAGGUCUACCCUCCUCUGGGACUCGGGCUCCUUUCUGGACCGCAACCUUGCCCUCACCUGCCCUGCCCUCUGGCUUCUUCAGCUCUCCCCACCAUGCCAAGGCACCUGGAGGGUGGGGACCAGCUGGUCACAUGGUGCUGCUUUUCAGGUUAGGGGAGAGGAUGUCCCAAGGGAUAGCCCAGCACUGGAGUUCUUGGUGAGCUUAACCACUGCCAGGAGGCUCAGGGGCCAUGGCUGCUGGUGUGGUAGGAACACCCAGUGUCCCCACUUGGAGCAAAGCCUGACAGUGUCUCUGGCCUCAGCUGCCCGUACCACAGCCCUGGGGGUCAUGUCCCUGAGCUGGGCCUCAGCCUAGUGGACUUGCGCAGGAAGUUUGGUGGGACCCUCUCCAGCCUUGCUUGUAGCUGAGAGGUGGAGCAGACCCCAGGCCUCUGCCCACAGUCUCUAACAGGCAUGUGGAGUCGCCGCGGCCAGAGUUGCAUGUUGGGGACGUGGUCCCCUGCCCUCUCUAUGCUCCGUAAAGCCAGGUGUCACUUUGGGCCUGCAGUCUCGCCCUGCUCUGUCUCCCACUGAUGUGCCACGUGGUGUCAGGUGUCCUGGAUGCAGUAUUCAGCAGCCAGCUGGGGAGGGGGGGGGCCCCCACUUCUCUCCCCUGCCAUCUUGGGGCUUCUCAGAGUCAAAAAAAAAAAAUUGUACCCCCUGCCCCAGGAACCCUUUCUCGUGCACAGGCCAGGAGUGUGCAUGCGUGUGCAUGCCGCGGGAGUUGGGGCCGUGUCUGUGUGCCCCCGUCCCUCAGCUUUGCUCCUGCCCAGUGACUGACCACCGUCAUGCUGCCUUCUCUCACGGCCCCUCCCCCCACCCCUUCACCAAAGGUCUUGGUACAACCAGCUGCCCAUUUUGUGAGAUUUUUAUGUAGAAUAAACAUUUGUAUCUGUA